RNAcentral lists this ribosomal RNA (388 nucleotides) under uncultured eukaryote. RNAcentral describes it as "partial 18S ribosomal RNA". It matches the Rfam family "Eukaryotic small subunit ribosomal RNA", at positions 592 to 976 of the family's 1831-position model. The record is from RNAcentral.
CAAUAGCGUAUAUUAAAGUUGUUGCAGUUAAAAAGCUCGUAGUUGGAUUUCUGAUCGAGACAUCAGGUCGGGUCCGAGAGGAUCAUGUACUUUGAUUUUGUUUUGAUCAUCCUUGGGGAGAGCAUUUCUGGCAUUCAGUUGUCGGGAUUGGGAUCCUCAUCGUUUACUGUGAAGAAAUUAGAGUGUUCAAAGCAGGCCUCGGCCUCUGAAUACAUUAGCAUGGAAUAAUAAGAUAGGACUUUGGUGGUCUAUUUUGUUGGUUUGCACGCCAAGGUAAUGAUUAAUAGGGAUAGUUGGGGGUAUUCGUAUUCAAUUGUCAGAGGUGAAAUUCUUGGAUUUAUGGAAGACGAACUACUGCGAAAGCAUUUACCAAGGAUGUUUUCAUUAA